CAGAGAUCCACAGCUCAAAAGAGACCCACAGCUCAGCAGAGACCCACAGCUGGAGUCCACAGUUCGGCACCGAGUCAGCCAGAGCGCAGCAGCAGGAGUCCACAGUUCGGCACCGAGUCAGCCAGAGCGCAGCAGCAGGAGUCCACAGUUUGGGACCGAGUCAGCCAGAGCAUGUACUGAGCCUGCCCGACCCCUGUCUGGAUCCUGUUUCCCUGCCUGGGAAUAAGACCUGAUCUGUUGCUGGACUUCUGCUUGAUUCUGUCCUGGACUGUCUGCCCGUGUACCUGACCUCUGCCUGCCUGUAAAUUUCCGAGCCUGCUAACCCUUGUCUGUGUCUGAGUUGCUAGUUAUUCGGAUCUGGUGUGGACCAAAGUCUCUGAGUCCCCUGUUCUGGACUGCUGCUCGAGCUCUGUUUUUGCCUUCCGGAUUAUUCCCCUGCUCUGAGUCUGAUCCCUGCAACCCGCCCUGCCUGUCUCCCUGCUGGACUCAAGGACUGUUUGUGUUUGCUUGUUAAUUUAAUAAACUGCCUAAACAUC
Molecule: long non-coding RNA, 536 nt
Organism: Fundulus heteroclitus (mummichog)
Lineage: Eukaryota; Metazoa; Chordata; Actinopteri; Cyprinodontiformes; Fundulidae
Exons: 2
Source: RefSeq, a predicted model, not a curated record